Molecule: long non-coding RNA, 1700 nt
Organism: Vitis vinifera (wine grape)
Lineage: Eukaryota; Viridiplantae; Streptophyta; Magnoliopsida; Vitales; Vitaceae
Exons: 2
Source: RefSeq, a predicted model, not a curated record
CUCUCUUUUCUCUCUCCAUCUCAACCAUAGCCCACUCACCCACGUUUUCCCCAAUCUUCUCUUCUUCCACUUUCUUUCUUUUUGUCCAUAUUUUCUUUUUCCUUUAUUUCCUUUUCUUUCUUCUUCAUCUCGUCACGUGGCCGUCUCUCACCAUCGAUGACGCUACUACCGGUGACCCACUGCCAGCAACCCAUUAUCAGCGACACCACUACCGACGACGCUACUAUCGGCCGACAGCCAUCUCCAACACCGAUAGUCCUCUCCAUCACAUCCUCUCUCUUCUUUCCUACCCAACAUCACUCACCAUCUCUGUCAUCCUAAACCUCCCAAUCAUUGCCCUAACAGUCAUGGUUGUGCUGCUCGGUCGCCUUAGAAAAUUAUACGACAACAACCUUCCCUACCCCACAUCUACACCAAAGUCAAGUUGAACCCUUCUCGGGUUUAUUCACCUUCUUCCCUACCCAACAUCACUCACCAUCUCUGUCAUCCUAAACCUCCCAAUUGUUGCCCUAACAGUCAUGGUUGUGCUGCUCGGUCGCCUUAGAAAAUUAUACGACAACAACCUUCCCCACCCCACAUCUGCACCAAAGUCAAGUUGAACCCUUCUCGGGUUUAUUCACCUUCUUCCCUACCCAACAUCAUUCACCAUCUCUGUCAUCCUAAACCUCCUAAUUGUUGCCCUAACAGUCAUGGUUGUGCUGCUCGGUCGCCUUAGAAAAUUAUACGACAACAACCUUCCCCACCCCGCAUCUACACCAAAGUCAAGUUGAACCCUUCUCGGGUUUAUUCACCUUCUUCCCUACCCAACAUCACUCACCAUCUCUGUCAUCCUAAACCUCCCAAUUGUUGCCCUAACAGUCAUGGUUGUGCUGCUCGGUCGCCUUAGAAAAUUAUACGACAACAACCUUCCCCACCCCCACAUCUACACCAAAGUCAAGUUGAACCAUUCUCGGGUUUAUUCACCUUCUUCCCUACCCAACAUCACUCACCAUCUCUGUCAUCCUAAACCUCCCAAUUGUUGCCCUAACAGUCAUGGUUGUGCUGCUCGGUCGCCUUAGAAAAUUAUACGACAACAACCUUCCCCACCCCCACAUCUACACCAAAGUCAAGUUGAACCAUUCUCGGGUUUAUUCACCUUCUUCCCUACCCAACAUCACUCACCAUCUCUGUCAUCCUAAACCUCCCCAAUCGUUGCCCUAACAGUCAUGGUUGUGCUGCUCAGUCGCCUUAGAAAAUUAUACGACAACAACCUUCCCGUUCCCACAUCUACACCAAAGUUAAGUUGAACCCUUCUCGGGUUGAUUCGCCUAGAAAUGUCUUUCUUUUUGUUGUUGCUGAGAACGGGAAAAGAGGUGUGGUGUUGAUUGGGAGGAGGAGGACGACUCUUGAGACUUUUUGUAAUCUUCUUUGCGUUUCCUAUGAUAUUUGUGAGAGGGUUGAGGGUUUUUUUUUUAUAGUAUUUUUUAGCUUCAUUUUGAAAGUUUUUGGAGGGUCAUUACUUUUAUUGGACUGCACUUUUAAGGUUACUCCUACGUCCUUGUCCUUCAAGUUUUAUUGUAUACAUUCAUUUCAUUUCAGUUUUCUUCUUAUGUACAUGUGAAUGUAUCAUUCGUGUUUAGAUUUUUUAUUGUAUAUGUAUAUUUAAUUUGUGAUUCAUGGAUUAAUUUUUGUUUCCAUUUAUUUGUUAUCCUUAUUUAAUA